AUAGCUUAAUCUAUCAAUAAAAUUUUAAAAAAAACAACUAGGAGUAUGAUAGGAUUAAGGCUUAGUUUGGUAUUGAGAUCCAUCUGAUACUAUUAAAUAAAAUAGAGUUCGAAUAAAAGCAUAUAGCGAUAUGCUUCUGCGUUCUCCGGUGGGACCGUAGACUUCUGCGUUCUCUGGUGGGACCGUAGAAAUUAUAUCGUAAUCGACUCAUCGCGAUAUGCGGAACAUAAUAUUACGUACGAAAACAAAUAUGAUAUUUUUUCAUCGUACUUUCUUACCGCACGUAAUGCAAUGUCCCCGGGUUUCGUUUGGAAUCGCGUUACGUGCGGUGAGAAAGUACGUUGGAAAAAUAUCUUGUUUAUUUUACGAUAAUGUCCCCGGGUUUCGUUUGGAAUCGCGUUACGUGCGGUGAGAAAGUACGUUGGAAAAAUAUCUUGUUUAUUUUACGAUGAGUCGAUUGUGAUAUAUGUUUUGUAGUCCCAUCGGAGAAUGCACAACCAUAUUUGUAGAUGUUUUUAUCCUAACUUUAUUUUAUCUAAUAGCGUCAUAUAAAUCUCAAUACCAAACCAAACCUAAAACUCACGAUCAAACUUUUUAUUCUGAUGUCACGUAAAAUGAUCGUUUAUUUUAAACUAGAAACUAUGCCUAACAAUAAU
This 656-nucleotide long non-coding RNA is filed under the name Ananas comosus (pineapple). RNAcentral's name for it is "long non-coding RNA (ACOM_LNC015980)". The record is from RNAcentral. Lineage: Eukaryota; Viridiplantae; Streptophyta; Magnoliopsida; Poales; Bromeliaceae.